RNAcentral lists this long non-coding RNA (273 nucleotides) under Elaeis guineensis (African oil palm). Its description in RNAcentral is "long non-coding RNA (EGUI_LNC053587)". Lineage: Eukaryota; Viridiplantae; Streptophyta; Magnoliopsida; Arecales; Arecaceae. The record is from RNAcentral.
AUCUGAGUUUGGCUGACCAAAAAGAGAAGAGAGUAGGCUUUGGGCAUGAGCAAUUGUAGCCCUUCGGGCGUGGGUUAUUUCCUAGAAGAGUCUAGGGUUUUGUGGGUUAAGAAUUGUUCUCCAAUCUUCUUCUAUUUUCUCUUUUGUUUUAUCUCUUAGAUUGUCUAGGAGAAGAAGCCCAGAUCAAGCAUCAAGAGGGAUCUCUGCAAGGGAGCUAGCAUCCUAGGAAGAUCGCCAACCUCUGAUUUGAAAAGAUCUUAUAUCAAUACCUGU